GAUGAACGCUGGCGGCGUGCCUAAUACAUGCAAGUCGAGCGAACAGACGAGGAGCUUGCUCCUCUGACGUUAGCGGCGGACGGGUGAGUAACACGUGGAUAACCUACCUAUAAGACUGGGAUAACUUCGGGAAACCGGAGCUAAUACCGGAGAAUAUAUUGAACCGCAUGGUUCAAUAGUGAGAGACGGUUUUGCUGUCACUUAUCGAUGGAUCCGCGCCGCAUUAGCUAGUUGGUAAGGUAACGGCCUACCAAGGCAACGAUGCGUAGACGACGGGUGUGGGGGAUAGGCCGCCUGGGAGGUGGACCAGGCCCAAGGGGACUGCGAGACGGCCCAGACGGCUAUGUGCGGCAACAGGCGGGAAUAUUACACAAUGGGGCGAAGCCAGAUGCAGCAAUCCCGCGUGCGGGAUGAUGGGCUACGGGUUGUAAACCACUUUCGCCGGAGAUGAAGCGGGAGUGACGGUAAUGGGUAAAGAAGCACCGGCUAACUACGUG
This 497-nucleotide ribosomal RNA is filed under the name uncultured bacterium. Its description in RNAcentral is "partial 16S ribosomal RNA". It matches the Rfam family "Bacterial small subunit ribosomal RNA", at positions 28 to 507 of the family's 1533-position model. The record is from RNAcentral.